AAGGGAAACCAAUAGCUUGGUUGUAACACCCGUUCCCAUACCGAACACGAAGGUUAAGAACCAAAGCGCCGAUGGUACUGCAGGGGCAGCCCUGUGGGAGAGUAGGUCAUUGCCGGGU
RNAcentral lists this ribosomal RNA (118 nucleotides) under Clostridium acetobutylicum. The record is from RNAcentral. Lineage: Bacteria; Bacillati; Bacillota; Clostridia; Eubacteriales; Clostridiaceae.